UCCGUAGGUGAACCUGCGGAAGGAUCAUUAAUAGUGCCCUCUGAUGCAAAUCAUUGGGUUAGAUCUGCUCUCUUCGCAAGAAGAGGGUUUCCAUACACACCGUGAACUGUGGCUUCGGCCAUCACAAACUGUUAGUAAUGAAUGUGAUAUCAUAACAAAAACAAAACUUUUAACAACGGAUCUCUUGGCUCUCACAUCGAUGAAGAACGCAGCGAAAUGCGAUAAGUAAUGUGAAUUGCAGAAUUCAGUGAAUCAUCGAAUCUUUGAACGCACCUUGCGCCCUUUGGUAUUCCGAAGGGCAUGCCUGUUUGAGUGUCAUGAAACCUCACCCCACUUGGGUUUUUGCCUGAGCGGUGGUGUAUUGGGUGUUGCCUUGCUAAAGGCUCGCCUUAAAGACAUAAGCACCUUGGAUGUAAUACGUUUCAUCCUUCUGGGUGGCUGAUAACCCCACAUAUUCAUGAUCUGGCCUCAAAUCAGGUAGGGCUACCCGCUGAACUUAAGCAUAUCAAUAAGCGGAGGAAAAGAAACUAACUAGGAUUCCCUUAGUAACGGCGAGUGAACCGGGAUGAGCUCAAAUUUAAAAUCUGGCGUCUUUCAGGCGUCCGAGUUGUAAUCUAUAGAGGCGUUUUCCGCGCCGGACCGCGUCCAAGUCUCUUGGAAUAGAGUAUCAAAGAGGGUGACAAUCCCGUACUUGACGCGACAACCGGUGCUCUGUGAUACGUUCUCAAUGAGUCGAGUUGUUUGGGAAUGCAGCUCUAAAUGGGUGGUAAAUUCCAUCUAAGGCUAAAUAUUGGCGAGAGACCGAUAGCGAACAAGUACCGUGAGGGAAAGAUGAAAAGCACUUUGGAAAGAGAGUUAAACAGCACGUGAAAUUGUUAAAAGGGAAACGCUUGAAGU
This 897-nucleotide small RNA is filed under the name uncultured fungus. Its description in RNAcentral is "eukaryotic LSU rRNA". The stretch from base 464 to 897 matches the Rfam family "Eukaryotic large subunit ribosomal RNA", at positions 1 to 429 of the family's 3401-position model. The record is from RNAcentral. Lineage: Eukaryota; Fungi.